RNAcentral lists this non-coding RNA (76 nucleotides) under Betaproteobacteria bacterium. Its description in RNAcentral is "c-di-GMP sequence". It matches the Rfam family "c-di-GMP-I riboswitch aptamer". From Rfam's summary of the family: GEMM was predicted in a large-scale screen for bacterial structured RNA regulatory elements. Genes associated with GEMM are involved in a diverse array of functions, including chemotaxis regulation, signal transduction, secretion and chitin. Lineage: Bacteria; Pseudomonadati; Pseudomonadota; Betaproteobacteria. The record is from RNAcentral.
CUAGAAACAAGCCACACCCGCAGCGAUGCGGGGCCGGAAAGCCGCGGAUCUCUUACGAGACAGCCGGGUUGCCUAG